AAUUAAGAAGUAUUUGAUACUUUUAAGAAGUAUCCGAUACGUAUCCAUGAGUAUCCGAGGAGUAUCGGUAUCCGAUAAGUAUCUGAUACGGAUACGUCACCCUUUUUGAAGUAUCCGUGCUUCAUAGAAAUCGUUUAAUGUUAUUCGGGUGUUUUGAAUCACUGAUUCUGACUGCAAUGGCUGCUAUAAUAAUAUUUUGCCAUUUCUAAUCGUGACAAAUAGCCUAGUUAACGAUUUUCUAUAUGAUUGACCAAUAAAUCAAGUCAAGUAAUUUUCUUUUGUUGGCCUGUUGUGUGUCCCCCACUGCCCAGCGCCAUCCUCUCCCUCUCACCCUGACUGCCUGCCACUACCCUCUUUUCUCUUCCCUAGUGCACCCUCUCCUUCCCCUUCCAAUCCCUUCUCUCUCCUUCCUAUUCCCCCUCCUUACCACCCACCCUCCACCAUCAUUGCCACCACUAUAUCUCUCUCCCCUCAAACCUUGGAAACCCUUUCUCACACAUUAUCUCCCCUCCAGAAUUGCCUACUUGACCACACAUCAUCUUGACCAUUGUGUGUCAACUUGCCCAAAUGAGGGGUUCGAUUGCGAUUGCACCUUGGCAUUUUCAUCAUGUUCAAGCCUUGUGGAGGUUCGAUUGCCCAGAUGGAGAGUUCAAUUGUUACAAGAAAAUGUGUGAUUGUGCGAUUUGGUGGAGCAUGGUGGAUGCUGGUGUUUGUAAAUCUAGGUUUGGAGGUAGUGGGGGGUGGUGGUGAUGAUGGACAGGGAAGUAGAGGGGUAGCAGUGUUAUGGAAAAAGAAUGGGUGGGGCGGUAACUAUGGGUUGAGGAAGGGAAGGAAGGGCUGGCAAUGAGGAAAGAGAGGGAGUUGGAGGUGGUGACAAGUUUGUUGACAAUGGGGGUGGCAGUGGGUUGGGAAAUGGAAGGGUGAGGGAGUAGGAAGUUAGUAAAUUGUCAAAAUUGUGCUUUCUCCUUUGGGAUUAAUUAAUAGGAUAUAGACAGAUGGUCGGGAUUGGGACGAUUUUAAAAGUCCAAGGUUUCAAUUGAAGAAAUUCAAAGUGUAGGGUUUAAUUUGUUGCAAGGGUCGAACCCUCUUCUUUUUUUUCUCUCUUUUUUUUUGUUGUAUUUUUAUUUUUUUAUAAUUUCCCCAAAAUUCAUAUAUGGGUAAAUUACACUUUUCCUCUUUUACGUUUCGAUGUUUUCUUACUUGGCAUUUAAAGUUUUUUUCCCCCACUUUGGUCUCUAGCAUUUAUAAAUUUACCCAUUUUACUCCAAUAGCUAACAUCCAUCCAAUAUGGUCAGAAAAUGCCACGUUGGAAUCCAUGUUACGCCACAUUGGUAGCUACGUGGCUUAAUAACACAUUAUUAUGCAAAUUUGGAUAAAUUACACUUUACUCCUUUAAGUUUCAAGUGUCUAAGAAGUACAAACAUAGACACGUGAUACGACACAGACACGUCAACACGACAAUUUUCAAAAAAUACAAGACACACAAAAUAUGUAGUUUUAUAUAUUUAUUAUAAAUAUAUCAUUCAAAGAUAAUAAAAAAUGCAACAUAAUAUUAAUUUUUGUAAAAUUUUCGUUAUCUUUGUACCCUAGGUUUAUUUUGUUUAAAUUUAUAAUUAGUUUCAUAUGUAUCUAAGCGAUAGACACGUGUGUCCCUCGAUUGUUUGAGCCUUAAAAGAUUAAAACAUAAUAGGACACGUUUGGAUGAGUGUCGACACUUGUUGGGAAGUAUCCGAUGAGUGCCAGUGCCCGACAUGGACACGACAAGGAUACACCACCUUUUUAGAAGUGUCUGUGCUUCAUAGUUUAGCAUUUUCUCUCUUUCUCUAAAAAAAAAAAAAUUCCCCCACUUUGGUGUCUAAUGUUCUAAGUUUUUUCAGUUUGUUCCAAUAGUCAAUCUGUCUAGAAUUGGAUGAAUGGCAUCCAUGUUUACUCCAGUUUGAACUUUAUUUGUAAUCGAGCCCCUUUCCCUCCCCUAGAAUUCGAUGAAUGACAUACACUAUCCGCUUCCUCUCCCAUAUCUACUGAAAUGGCGAUUGGAUUUGGGAGAGAGAUAUUGUUCGAUGAUGGUGUUUGAUGGUGUCGAUUUAAAGGGUUGUGGUGGGUGGAUGCUUGAUGGUGGUUUUGAAAUGUUGGUGGUAGCAAUAGCGUGUAAUCGAACCGAGACGAGCUGAGCGGAGUCGAGUUUAACUAUCUUUAAGCUUGGCUCGAGCUCGAAGCGAGCCAAAACAUUUGAGCUCGAGCUUGGCUCGCGUAAAAUUUAUGCAACUCUGGCUCGGCUCGUGAUGGCUUGUUAGUCAAGAGACAACCAAGGAAGACUAAAGCCUACUACACUUAAAUAGAGAUCUCUCUACCUUGAAAUACAUUGUGUAAUCGAUGGGGGACACCAAACUGUUUGAAACAUGACUAACCAAACGGCAUUGUUUGGCCAGUGAGUGCAAUUGCACUCUUCAGUCCCACAUCGCUCAAGCAAAGAAGCAUACUAAGUCUCAAUGCUUAUAAAACAGAGUUGUUUGCAGCCAUUAUUACUCAAUGAAAGCACAAACUUCCAAACUAGUAAUGAUUAUUAUUUGUAAUAUAAAAAUAAAAAAUAAUCAUGAUCAUUAAAAUUUGAAAUGUUUUAAUAUAUAUAUAUAUAUAUAUUUGAGCUCGCGAGCCUAAUCAAGUUGAGUAUUAUUGAGCUUGGGCUUGGCUCGUUUAUUAUAUGAGCUUAAAAUUCUCAGGCUCGUUUAUUUGGUAAGCGAACCGAGUUUGAACGAGCCUUAACGAGCCGAACUUGAGUUUGUUCAUGAAUGAUUUGGUUGAUUUGCCGCCAGUGAUGAGGUGGAGUAGGGCAAUGAAUGGUGGUGGUGUUGAGUUGUAAAUGAUAGCAAUGAUGAGAGGGAGUACUGUCAGGGAUGGAGUUUAGGGGUUAGGGCACAGAGGGGAAGGCAAGGGGAGGAGUGGGGGUUUCAAUGGUGGUGGAGCCAAUGGUGGGGUCCGUGGAAGGGUGGUGGGAGUGUUGGAGGAGAUUAUGGGUUUGGGUUGAGUCUAAAUUUAUGUAAUAAUGUGUCAUAAUAAUUUUACGUGCAACGUGACAUUUUCCAUGAUUGUUGGAGCAAACUGGAAAAAAUUAGAAAUUUAGGUACUGAAGUGGGAAAAAAAAUUAAAGGUCAAAAUGGAAAAACAGUGCUUCUUAA
Molecule: non-coding RNA, 3176 nt
Organism: Camellia sinensis
Lineage: Eukaryota; Viridiplantae; Streptophyta; Magnoliopsida; Ericales; Theaceae
Source: RefSeq, a predicted model, not a curated record